Molecule: long non-coding RNA, 1093 nt
Organism: Lycium barbarum (goji berry)
Lineage: Eukaryota; Viridiplantae; Streptophyta; Magnoliopsida; Solanales; Solanaceae
Exons: 3
Source: RefSeq, a predicted model, not a curated record
AUGGCUUUAACCGGUUAUAGCUCUUUUCUAUUCCACUUUUUCAUACACAAAUCCCCAAACUUCUUUUGUCAAACUCAAUCUCACGUAUGAACUCCACCAAAGAGUCAAGAACUCCAUUUUCAUCUUGAUUCUUGAUCAGUUGACAAUGGAUGAAGAUGAGGUUCCCAAAAAAUGAGCAGGAAGGAUUUUGCAUGGAAAUAUGCAAUUGAGAACCCAGAUGAGAAGUACUUCAAAUGCAAGUUCUGUGAUCAAUAAUGAAGUGGCACAAUCAAUCGAUUGAAGCAACAUUUAGCAGGCACUCAUUUAGGGAUGAGACCUUGUCUUAAGGUACCAGAUGAAAUAAGUGAAGAAUGCAAGAAAUCAUUACAAAAGCUUAAAACUGCAAAAGCCAUGCGAACUGCUACUUUGGAAGAAAUGUGAGUGGCUGCAUCUGGAAAUGUUAAUAUGUCUAGUGAAGUUAGUUCUUAUCCAACUAUGGCCAAUUUAAAUCCAAAGACUAGAGAUCCAUUGGAUGAUUUUGUUAGUGCUCAAGCAAGGCAAGCUACUUUGAACUUGAAAUGCAAAAAAAGAGGAAAGGAAAGAAGUUUGUCAACGAAUUGGUAGAUUCUUCUUCUCAAGUGGUAUACCAUUUAACAUCGCAAAUGAUCCAUAUUAUUUUCCUAUGUUCGAAGGCGUUGCAAAUUAUGGUCCGGGUUUUGUGCCUCCCUCAAUGCAUGAGUUGAGAACAUGGAUACUAAAAGAAGAGGUUACAAGUAUUCACAAGAUGUUAGAUGAGCAUAAGAAAUCUUGGAAGCAAUAUGGUUGUUCAAUUAUGUUGGAUGGAAAAAGUAGAUGCUUUAUCAACUUUCUGAUUAAUAGUCCUGCAGAUGAGAGACAUCAAAUAGCAACAAUUUCUUUGGCUCCAACCAAAUCUAGUUGUGAAGUCUUGUUCAUGAGCGUUCAAGAAGACACUUGAGAAAUGAUAUGGCUUUUGUCUAUUUUUACUUUUGUGGAAGAUGACUCUCAUUUGAGCUAUUAUGAUGAUACGUCAGUAUCUCUAACUAAUUUCUUUUGUAUGCACCAAAUUGUCUUUUAAUAUUUAGUUGUGGAUGAA